AUUGAACGCUGGCGGCAUGCCUUACACAUGCAAGUCGAACGGUAACAGGUCUUCGGAUGCUGACGAGUGGCGAACGGGUGAGUAAUACAUCGGAACGUGCCUAGUAGUGGGGGAUAACUACUCGAAAGAGUGGCUAAUACCGCAUGAGAUCUACGGAUGAAAGCAGGGGAUCGCAAGACCUUGUGCUACUAGAGCGGCCGAUGGCAGAUUAGGUAGUUGGUGGGAUAAAAGCUUACCAAGCCGACGAUCUGUAGCUGGUCUGAGAGGACGAUCAGCCACACUGGGGCUGAGACACGGCCCAGACUCCUACGGGAGGCAGCAGUGGGGAAUUUUGGACAAGGGGCGCAAGCCUGAUCCAGCAAUGCCGCGUGCAGGAUGAAGGCCUUCGGGUUGUAAACUGCUUUUGUACGGAACGAAAAGCCCUGGGUUAAUACCCUGGGGUCAUGACGGUACCGUAAGGAUAAGCACCGGCUAACUACGUGCCAGCAGCCGCCGUAA
This 498-nucleotide ribosomal RNA is filed under the name uncultured bacterium. RNAcentral's name for it is "partial 16S ribosomal RNA". It matches the Rfam family "Bacterial small subunit ribosomal RNA", at positions 30 to 523 of the family's 1533-position model. The record is from RNAcentral.